Molecule: RNA transcript, 5625 nt
Organism: Ailuropoda melanoleuca (giant panda)
Lineage: Eukaryota; Metazoa; Chordata; Mammalia; Carnivora; Ursidae
Gene: GPR174
Gene name: G protein-coupled receptor 174
Exons: 5
Source: RefSeq, a predicted model, not a curated record
AUAGUUCUGCAUCAUUAAUCAGAGAGAGAGAGAGAGAGAGAGAGAGACUGAGCACCAGUGAGCUUACUAGCUCAAGCUACCCCCUGGAAAACGGAAAUGUUCAGUGUGCACAGAGGCUUGCGUAUUUCAUUCUGACAUCUCACUACCAUGUUUUCCAACAUGGUAGUGGUUAGAACAGGGAGCUGGAAUUGAUGCAUAUAUCAGUAGCAUCCUUGUUGGAGUGGCUGUCACUUGAAUUUGUUGGAGAUUGCUGGAGAAAACAGAAAGAAACUGAAACGGUGUAAAUGAAAUAAACCAGCCAGAUUCCCCCAUGGCUUCUUCAGAAGACCCUGUUGCUAUGAUUAAGGAGUUUCACCACAAUUGGAGAAAAAACUCUGCCUUUGUUUCCCAUUUUUUAGCUUUCAACACAUAACUGAAAAAGCCUCAGAAAGCUGAUCUAUCCAAGUUAAUCACCUCUGAAGAACUGCGGACUUACUGAGUACUAAAGCAAACCUUUCUUCUAUGUAAGGCAAACGUAAGAAAAAACAGCCUGUCAAACACCUGUAAAGAGAUGGCUAUCAUCAUAUGGAAAUUUGAGGAGCUUCUAUGUGGCACAUUCAUGAUCUAAAUGGGAGAUAAUCAACUGUCAUGAUGUCCCAGAGGGCCUUAUAACAGUAAACAAGAGGGAAAAUUAUAACAGCUUGUUAUCUGUGCUUGCACACUAGACUUCAGUGUAAUUACUAUAAAAAAAAAUCCAAAGCAAAUACGUAAAUAGUUCUUUGAAAAACCCCAGAUUAUGUGUAGAGGCUCAGACCAAUGCAGUAAAAAGGAGGCAAUUUUAUACUCACUCUCUCCAACCCAUUGAUAAUAAGUCCUUUAGAAAGAGUGGCAGUUAAUUGUGAAUUUGUGUUAUGAACCACCAUUUGGCAAAGACAGCUGCUCUGGAAAGAAACAUGCCUGCUGAUGACACAUGUGCUGGGCCAGAUGGAAAUAAGACAGAUUUUCGAUAUUUUAUCUAUGCAGUGACAUAUACUGUAAUUCUUGUGCCAGGUCUCAUAGGGAACAUAUUAGCCUUAUGGGUAUUUUAUGGCUAUAUGAAGGAAACCAAACGGGCUGUGAUAUUCAUGAUAAACUUAGCCAUUGCUGACUUACUACAAGUUCUCUCCCUUCCACUGAGGAUCUUUUACUACUUGAAUUAUGACUGGCCAUUUGGGCCUGGUCUCUGCAUGUUCUGUUUCUACCUGAAGUAUGUCAACAUGUAUGCAAGCAUCUACUUCUUGGUCUGCAUAAGUGUGCGACGAUUUUGUUUUCUCAUGUACCCCUUUCGCUUCCAUGACUGCAAACAGAAAUAUGACCUAUACAUCAGCCUUGCUGGCUGGUUGAUCAUCUGCCUUGCCUGUCUGCCCUUUCCUCUCCUCAGAACCAGUGAUGACACCUCAGGCAACAGAACCAAAUGCUUUGUGGAUCUUCCUACCAGGAAUGUCAACCUGGCCCACUCUGUUGCCAUGAUGACCAUUGGCGAGUUGAUUGGGUUUGUCACUCCUCUUCUGAUUGUCCUAUAUUGUACCUGGAAGACAGUUUUAUCACUGCAUGAUAAAUAUCCUGUGGCCCAAGACCUUGGGGAGAAAAAGAAAGCCUUGAAGAUGAUUCUAACCUGUGCAGGAGUAUUCCUAAUUUGCUUUGCACCUUAUCACUUCAGUUUUCCUUUAGAUUUCCUGGUCAAGUCCAACAAAAUUCAAAGCUGCCUAGCCAGAAGGGUGAUUCUAAUAUUUCAUUCUGUUGCCCUCUGUCUUGCUAGUCUGAAUUCUUGUCUUGACCCAGUCAUAUACUACUUCACCACUAAUGAGUUCAGAAGACGACUUUCAAGGCAAGACAGCAUCCAACUCCAUGCAAAAUCCUUUGUAAACAACCAUACAACUUUACUCUGACAACUGAAUUAUGCUAAAUUAAAACAAAACCUCAUUGUGGUCUGAAAUGCAAGUAUAUCAGAACAUAUUUGUAAUACCUCAAGCCACUGGAAAGUAAUUACAGGAAGCGCUCACAGCUUUUCAUUUAUGCUCUAUCUUACCUAUAUGAGGAAUUCACAUCUUUAUAACAGAACUUGUUUAAAGCACUGUAUUCCACCAUCACUGUUGUUGACACGUCCAUGUAAUAAUUUGUUAUUAAGUCAGGAUUUAAACUGUAAAACUUCAGUGACAUUCUAUAUAUAUAUGCACUCAAUUAGAGUCAUCAGUUUUAUGUGAAUCCAAAACACAGAGAGACUAUUAGCUUGGGCUCAUCAUAAGCACUUAGUUUUGCUGCAAUGGACACUGAGUCUCUGUAUUUAGAGACAAUGCAGUUGUCUAUUUAUACUAGUAAUCACAGUUUAUAUUCAAAUACUCUAUUUUGGGUGUAUUUUAACUGGAAUUGACAAUAUGUUAUUCUGUGAAAACAAAGUGGUAUAAACACGGGACCAUUUUUAUCUCCCAUGUAUGAUUAUACUCUAGGGUUUGAAGACUCAAAUAACUAUUUUCUUCAUUUAAGUGUCAAUAUGAAAUAUCAUCUGUCACACUUAUUCAUAAAAUGAAAAUCUGAAUUCAAGCCUCUGGUAUGUUUAAAAUCAGAACAAGAAACAAAUUUACGUACAGUAACCUCUAUGAUUAUGUAAGAUGUCAUAUUGAAUCCACCCAGGUCAGAUAGCUGGCCAAAGUACAUACAAUGUGACCUACAUUGCCUCUAUAGGUGCAGGAGAUGGCAGAUAAGUGACAAUCACAGUUCUGGGUCUCUUAAACUAUUUCCAAAGAAUACAUAUUGAAAUGUAUGGACCUGCCUAAUAGAGGGAGUUUCCACCAUGCUUCUAGAGUAACACUGAAUAUCUCUGACAGGUUACUGCACUUUUUGAACCUAUGAAAGAAGUAGUGCACUAAUUAAUUAGUAAGCUUAGGCCAGAACAAAAAGAUGAAGGGAUGCGUACACCUCUUAAAAGCCUCACCACGUUGUAUUUCUUACUUUAAGUGGCGACUGUCAAGCCACCCUCAUGAACUGAAGGCAGCCAGGCAUGUGGAUUCGAGUCUUCAGAAAUUUUUCUGGUCCAGCUUUGUCUCAGUCAUACUAUUGUGAGUACUGCACAGCCUACCUCCCAGCAGCUAUGGAAGGAGAUUCUUUCACCUUUUUUGGAGAAAAAAAGCUGCAAAAAAAGUUAAUUUUGGCAGCACUGAACUCCCCUUACAGUUAUUUACCUGCUACCUGUUUGGUACUAGUAUGCAGGUAGCAGACCCAAUAUAUGAGUCAUUAAAUCUGAGGUCUAAAAUGUUACAGUACUUUGAAACAUGUUUUAACAAAAACCUCUAAUUUAAAACAAUGAUCUACUUAAAAAUCUGUGUGCUGUAUAAUGAAGACACAUGUUUCUUCUCACCUGGAAGGAAUAUGGAAAUCAACCAAGGGCUACAUCAUAUUUUCACAGGAAAGGGGUUGUUUAGGCACACAGUUAUAAUACCGAUAUGAUUGGGGGGAACUGGGAGAUCAAAAUCAAUUCUAAUAUCUGAGAGGAAUGGAAAAUUUUCUAAUGUUUUCUCUAGACAAGUAUUGAUUUUGCUUGUACUUUGUUAUUAAAGUAAUACCCUAUUAGAAAACAGACUUUGUGCUGCUAGCAAUGGUGUGUUUGUCUCCUUAUUAUUCAUUGUAAGGUACAUAUUUUGAUGUGUUAUAUGAGUUAUAAAUGAGUGUUAAAUUGUGUUUUAAAAAGAUUAACUGUAACUAUGUCUAGUCUGUUUGCUUUAAAGUGAGUUGUGUUUGAAUACAAUUUAGCAUUGUAAUGGGAUCACAAGUAAUAAUUUUGUGGGUACUUAUAAUGGAAGAGUCUUGUCUACACUAUAUUUGCUUACUAUUUUUUAGAUUAGCAUGGAUUACACUUUUUAGGGUCAUUUUGGGAUACCAGAGAUUUAAUUUUAUUAACAUAUUAAUGUAACUUUAAACAUAUCUAUUUUUUUCUAAAAAGGAGAAAAAUAUUUCUAGGACAUUAAUGAAUUUCUUAGAGGAACGUUUGAGGGGGUUAGAGCCCACUUAUUAGGUGGUCCAGAAGCCCUCGCAGAUCAUUUACAUCAUUAGGGGAGAGCAUAAGUGUCCUGUAUUCUUAUACUGUGUAGCUAGGACCAACACUUCUCCCCAGGUCUGCCCAUAUAGGUUCGUAUUAAGUGUUGUAAUUUACUUUAUUUACCCCCUUCCCCAUUGAUAUGUUUUUCCUUCUGUCCUAUUCCCUUGUCCUUCUAGUCAGUGAUCUGAUCAGUUUAUUCAUGCUAAGGUGCUAGUGACUAAUGUUAGCUUAAUAUUAACUUGCCCAGGGAUAUCUGAAUUCAAGUUUUAGGGGUAAACCGUAAUUCAAACUGUCAAUCCCUUACUUUUAAUGGAAGGAUGAAAGACACUGAAGAAAACUGGAGAGGAAGAUUUUUUUAAGAAAGUGGAUUUUACAGCAGUGUCUUUCAAAUCACAUAUAAUGAGCCUUCUACUGCAGAAGUGUGACGGAGACUUUAUCCUGCAAUGGUAUCCUUCUUAUAUGAAGGAGAAAUAAAAGUUUUCUCAGACAAACAAAUGCAGAGAGAGUUCAUCAUCACUAGAUCUGCCUUAAAAGAAGUGUUAAAAGUUCUUCAGGCUGAAAUGAAGACACUAAUCACUGACAGGAAAACAUAUGAAAGUACAUGACACACUGGUAAAGGUGAAAAAUAGACAGACUUAGAAAACUGUAACUCUAUAUUAGGAUGGUGUGUUAGCACCUUAACUACAGUAUAAAAGUCAAAGGAAAAAAUAAUUAAAGUAACUAUAACUACAAUACAUUGUUAACAAGUGCAUAACAUAAAAGAAGUAAAUUGUAACAUCAAUAAUAUAAAAGAGAAGACUAAAAGAAUGGAAAUUUUAUAGACAUUCAAAGGUAAGUUUUUAUCAGUCCAAAAUGGACUGUUUUAUUUUUAGAUAUUUUAAAUAAUGUAAAAGGCAACUACAAAGCAGAAACCCAGAGUAGACCCACAAAGACAAAGGGGAAACAGAAUAUCACUGUGGAAAUUAACCAAUUUACAAAAAUACACAGAGAUAAAAGGAAAAAGAAACAGUGGAAAUACAAAACAACCAAAAGUAAGAUGGCACUAGUAAGUCCUAUAUUUCAAUAAUUACUCUAAAUAUAAAGGGAUUGAAUUUGCCAAUCAAAAGGCACACAAUGGUUCGGUAGAUUUUUUAAAAAAUCAACUAUAUGCUGCCUAAAAAUGGCCAACUUCAGAUAUAAGGUCACAUAUAAACUCAAAGUGAAGGGAUGUAAAUAGUUAUGCCAUAAAAGUGGAAACCAAAAGAGUAGCUACUUCAGACAAAAUAGAUUUUGAGCUAAAAAAGUAACAAAAGAUAAGGAAGAUCAUUAUAUAAUGAUAAAAAGAUCAAUGCAUCAAAAAGUUAUGGCCAUCAUAAAUAUAUAUACACCCAACAUUGGAGUACCUUAAUCUAUUAAGCAAAUGCUAACAAAUCCAAAAUAAGAAAUAGAAAAUAAUACAAUAAGAGUAGGGGACUUCCACAUUUCACUCUUAAUAAUGGGUACAAUAACAUAGACAGAAAAUCAACAAGGAAAUAAUGGACUUGAAAUAUAUAUUAUACAAAAUGGACCUAAUGGACAUGUGUAAAAUAUUCCAC